AUGCAGCCUCGGGAACAGAACCCUGCACAGGCAAACUUGGCAGAACCUGGGCAGUGUCUGCAGCAGCAGUUAGGAAUCUGGGACUGGGAGCUGACUGUACUUGCAUUCCCAGGAGGACAAAUCAGGACCUUGAUUGCCAGGAAUAGUACCCAGAUUUAUGAUGCUGAGAAGGUAAAGCUGCAGCGUGAGCCCACCUGGAAUCCUUGUCAUAGGAGAACAGCACCAGGAGCAACCACGGACAGGCAGGUUCACCAGCACUCCAGUGCUCUGUGUGUUUUUGUGUCUGUUUGUGUGUCUCAUGAUUUUCAGGUUGUUUUUCAUAUCCCAUUGCAAAUGAGAAGUCAGCCUUUUUCAGACAAGUGUAGAAUCUAAUGGGCAGUGUGUUUGAAAACCUCAGCUGUUCCCAGGACACAGGUGAAUGAUACAAACGUGGCACAACAGGUGACACAUGGAGAUGGGCAUCUUGGAAAGAAAACAUCAAAGGGACCACACAGUGAUCAGGGAGGGCAAUUCACAGGGCCAGGGAGCUGGAGAUGUGUGUAAAGCCACCCUGUUCUUCACAUAGUCCCAGCAAGCUUCAGUUCACAAAGAAAGUAGCUGGAAAAAUUACCCAGAAAUAGAUGACCUUCCAAAAGGCCUCUAAUAUACAAUUACCUGAUGUUCACUGAAGUGGUUCACGUGCUUCCCACUCUAAAUGAUUUUCUAGGUUCACCCAUGUGUGAAAAGGGGUCUGAUUUUAUGGAGGAGGGCAAUGGAGGAAAGAAACUUCAGACAGAAGAAAAAUACGCCAGGGAAUUUUACUAGUUGUUUGCUUCAAGGGAAAAAAAGGGCAAAUAGAUGCAGCCACCUCAAAGUCACCUUUUGACUUUGACCUUUAAAAGAAAGAAGCAUGGGAGAAGGCUCAGGUAUUGGCAGCACUUGACAGAAGGUGUUCCGUGGAGAUAGGUAGGAAAUUUAGGAUCCAGUGGAAUUUGCUUUCUUAGCCAGAUGACAAGUUCUUUUUUUCCCUGCAGUACAACAUAAUUAUUACGACCCCUGUUUUCCUUGCUGUCUUUUCUUUCCUUCUGCCCUGGGUCAUCUGGCACAGGAGAUCCUUGCCUGUGCUCAUGACAGGGCUGGCCAUGCUGCUCUGCAGAGUUUCAGCUCUGAUCCUGGACCAAAACAAGUGAAUUAUCUGGGGCUGCAAUCUAUAGUGGGCUUUAGGUGAAAUACAUUUUCAAGGAAAUUAUUUCUGUGGUUGGCACAAAAGUGCCUCUCUCCUGCACCUUUCCUGUGGCAGCUGUGCCCAGGUGCUCAGAGCAGUCUGGCUUCAAUAGCUCAGUGCUCUCUUCACUGCCCCAACCCCCAGAAACAAAGGGGGAAGGGGGCAGAGACCACCCCCCCGUGGGAAAACAGCAUUCAAAAACCCAAAGACUUCUUGAAACCAGGGAAUGGCAUUUCCACAUAUGAUGAGAGAGCACAGUGGGCAAUAGAAACUAUGUUUGUAUGGAAGAAAAUUAUUUUAUAUAACCUUGGAAUGUAAACAUUUUGAUGAACAAAAGCAAGUGACAGUCCCUUCCCCCAUCUGCAUUAUCUGACAAAACAAACAAAGUCCCUGAGACAGGUCAGACAGACAAGAGCAUUAAAAAAAUGGCACUUGUUGCACUGAAGCACUUUUCAUUUGGUCAAGUAUCUAAGUAUCUUUGUGCGGAAAAAAACCCAAAGUUGAGCUCUGGAUCCAAAGCAUUAGACUUGCAAUUCCACUGAAUUUUGUGACUUUGGAAAUGUUCUAUUGUUUUUCAGUACGAGCUCAUGAACCUGGAAUGAAAUUGUCCUUUGGGGACAAAACAAAAUAGAUGAAAAAUAAAUACUCAUGUCAGGUCUGGAAACCAAGGGAGUUCUGAGCCACGGUCUUUAAUAUGUUUCUUUUCCAUCAAGUUCAGGAGUGGCUUUGAGCAGGAUUUGCUGCAGUUGUGGGAGACAGGAAAGAAACAUAUUAAAAAUAAAAGAAGAACCCUGAAUAAGAUUUUUCAAAAAGCCAUUUAUAUCUCCUAUAAGACAUCCAGAUGCAAAAGUGAAUGGUGAGUCAGGAGUGCACUCAGGCACACAGUUCCAGCAGCAGCUCCCAGGCUCCUCUGAUUGUGGCUCUGCUGGAAGGCAGGUCAGCUUGAGCUCACAGCAGCAUCAUUGUGGGAUGAUGUGGAGGUCCUCAUGCUCCUGCCUCCUCCUUUUGGAGGCUACACAAUGUGCACACAUUGUGUUCCUGAAUUCAUGCCUCUUGUGUCGAUUUGUUUGUCUGGUCCUUAAAUUUCUGUGUUCAUCUCCAGUGCCCAGAGCUCUGCCAAGUCUCCUGCAGCUUGCUGAGACCAUGGGCAGGUGCCUCAGCUCCCCACAGCGACUGUGCCCACGGCUCUGCUGCCUCUGAUCCCGAGGGGCUGAGGAGCUGCCACCAGGGUGUGAGGAGUGCAGCCACACACAGCUGCACUCCCCAUGCUUGGAGGGCAGGGUGCUGACAAGCUAACCAUGGCAGAGAGACUGAAAGAUGGAGACUUUCUCCUGGAGCCUGCUUUUAACUCUCCAUGGCCCUGCUUGGGAAUGGGCUGUAGUCACUACAUGCCUUUAGCUUGAACUUGCACUUCAUCAGUCUGGGAGGAAGAAUGGAAGAAAUGUUCUGAGAGAAAAUUCCAUUUAUGUCUUCUGCCACCUGCUACUGGCAUAUGUGAGCUGCUGCAUGCCAGUAGCUUAUGGCAAAGAUAACAUCAGUGUGGAGAAAAUUGUGCGGUGCUGAAAAUGAGACUCAUGUUCCAGAUGACCCGAUAGCUCAGUGCCCGCUGGGGCCAGGUGUGGGGCCAAGCUCUGCUCACCAGCACUCACACAGACAGUGUGAUGGCCUUGCUGGAAUCCCGGAAAUCACAUAUUUUAGGGCAAGCAAAAGGACAAAAGCUGAAAAGCUUCUAUUCACAUCCAGCCCCAAAUCAGGCUUUGCUGCAUAUAUCUCCAGCCUAAUUAGUAUGAGCCAGGGUGAGGGAGGCUGACAGGGAACAGUUGCAAAGUGCCCGCUAAAGCUGCUGCUCUGGGAACUGACAUAAUGGCAGAGUAGUCAUAGUGGGCAGCUCUUCAGAAGUAAACAUCCAUUGACAGUAGGAUCAUAGAAAUAUUUGAGGCACUCAACAGCAAAGUCCUUGUUGCUUUUCACCCUCGUGCCACCUGGAGUUUUUCUCAGUGAGGGAAUUCAUGGUGUUUUGUGUGAACAGACAGGUAAUUGCGAGCAACUACUUAAAUAGCCCUAAUUAUGUUUAGAGAAGGCUGGUCCCUGAAAGCAGAUAGGAUCUGUGAAUAAACAUAUUGACACAGGUGACCACCUGAUCAUGCACAUGGACCUAAAAAAAGCCACUUUGCCAAGUUUAAAUACCUCAAAGUAAAGCUGAGCAGCCACCAGACGCCAGUGGCCGUGCCUGACCAAAGCAGCAGGACAAGGGGCUCAGCAGGGGCAGUGUGGCCACAGCACGUCCUGCCAGCCCGAGAUGUCC
Taeniopygia guttata (zebra finch) is the source of this 3509-nucleotide long non-coding RNA. NCBI's taxonomy places the organism in Eukaryota, Metazoa, Chordata, Aves, Passeriformes, Estrildidae. The record is from Ensembl.